GAUGAACGCUGACAGAAUGCUUAACACAUGCAAGUCAACUUGAACUUCGGUUUGGGUGGCGGACGGGUGAGUAACGCGUAAAGAACUUGCCUCACAGAUAGGGACAACAUUUGGAAACGAAUGCUAAUACCUGAUAUUAUGAUUAUAUGGCAUCGUAUAAUUAUGAAAGCUGUAUGCGCUGUGAGAGAGCUUUGCGUCCCAUUAGCUAGUUGGAGAGGUAACGGCUCACCAAGGCGAUGAUGGGUAGCCGGCCUGAGAGGGUGAUCGGCCACAAGGGGACUGAGACACGGCCCUUACUCCUCCGGGAGGCAGCAGUGGGGAAUAUUGGACAAUGGACCAAGAGUCUGAUCCAGCAAUUCUGUGUGCACGAUGAAGUUUUUCGGAAUGUAAAGUGCUUUCAGUUGGGAAGAAAAAAAUGACGGUACCAACAGAAGAAGUGACGGCUAAAUACGUG
Molecule: ribosomal RNA, 454 nt
Filed under: uncultured bacterium
Lineage: Bacteria
Description: partial 16S ribosomal RNA
Rfam family: Bacterial small subunit ribosomal RNA
Source: RNAcentral